AAACACCCGGUCCCAUCUCGAACCCGGCAGUAAAGUCCGCUCACGUACCUGUCUGUACUGUGCUACGCAAGUGCACGGGAACACAGGCACGCUGUCAACC
RNAcentral lists this ribosomal RNA (100 nucleotides) under Candidatus Methanoplasma sp. Lineage: Archaea; Methanobacteriati; Thermoplasmatota; Thermoplasmata; Methanomassiliicoccales; Methanomassiliicoccaceae. The record is from RNAcentral.